RNAcentral lists this long non-coding RNA (751 nucleotides) under Erythranthe guttata (spotted monkey flower). RNAcentral's name for it is "long non-coding RNA (EGUT_LNC001548)". Lineage: Eukaryota; Viridiplantae; Streptophyta; Magnoliopsida; Lamiales; Phrymaceae. The record is from RNAcentral.
GGGCAAUAAUCGGCAUGUGGCCGAUAAUGUGGGCAAACGAACGUUCGAGGGAAAUCGACCACGACUUGACAAGUGUGGGCAAAAUUGGCAAGGCAAGCAAGGCAGCCCGAUGAGCGGGCGUGCCGAUGACCGUGUGGGCAAAGAACUGGCAAGUGAUCGGUAAAGGGAAGCAAAAGUGCGGAAAAGGCAAGGCAGAUGGGCUGCCUAGCAACCGGCCGGGCUGUUUGGGCCGUUUGGCGCGCGGGCGCGCCCGAUCAAGAUGGGCUUCGGAAAUCAGCCUUGUGGGCGGAUUUGAGGAAGUUAUGGAGCGGUUGAGGCCUGAAAAUGCAUGAAAACUGCCCCUUUAUACUUGUAAUAGUUGGCCAAGUGUCAUGUUUGUAUGCUGCCAUGUGUCCUUAGGUAGUUUUGUGUGAAAACUACCUUUUCCUUGUAUUUAUUAGGCUAUGAGUGCACAAAUCCGAGGGAUCUAGCAUAUGAGAGUUCAGAUUGCAAUUGUUGGGCAAUUCUGAGUGAGGAUUUUGUGUGUGCACCUUAGUCUCCUUUGUAUUCGUUGUGGGAAUUAAUAUAAAGGUUGGGCAUUGCCCGUAAACGUGCUUGUGUGUUUGUUUUCCGCUGCAUACUCUUGUGUUCGUUUACGUGGCUGAAAAGACUUGUGUUUGUGCGUGUUUGUGCGAAGAAAAUCGUGAGGAAGGCUGACUGGUUUGGUGGGCAAAUCAGGCCGUACAAGGGAAAAUUUCGGUGAUAAAUUAAC